This 21-nucleotide non-coding RNA is filed under the name Arabidopsis thaliana (thale cress). Lineage: Eukaryota; Viridiplantae; Streptophyta; Magnoliopsida; Brassicales; Brassicaceae. The record is from RNAcentral.
UAAUACUCAACGUUGUCGCAU